AUGACGGCACCAGCGGAGCUUUCCCGUGAGGAGAAUGUGUACAUGGCUAAGCUCGCUGAGCAGGCUGAGAGGUACGAGGAGAUGGUUGAGUUCAUGGAGAAGGUGGCCAAGACCGUCGACUCCGAGGAACUCACUGUGGAGGAGCGCAACCUCCUCUCUGUUGCAUACAAGAAUGUGAUUGGAGCCCGCCGUGCCUCAUGGCGCAUCAUCUCCUCCAUUGAACAGAAGGAGGAGAGCCGUGGCAACGAGGACCGGGUCACACUCAUCAAGGAAUACCGUGGCAAGAUCGAAACUGAGCUUAGCAAGAUCUGUGAUGGCAUCCUCAAGCUGCUCGAAACCCACCUUGUCCCGUCUUCCACUGCCCCUGAGUCCAAGGUCUUUUAUCUUAAGAUGAAGGGUGACUACUACAGGUAUCUUGCCGAAUUCAAGAGUGGGCCUGAGAGGAAGGAUGCUGCUGAGAAUACCAUGGUGGCAUACAAGGCUGCUCAGGAUAUUGCUUUGGCUGAGCUGGCUCCAACUCAUCCGAUUAGGCUUGGGCUGGCACUAAACUUCUCGGUGUUCUAUUAUGAGAUCCUCAACUCGCCUGAUCGUGCUUGCAAUCUCGCAAAACAGGCAUUCGAUGAGGCCAUUUCGGAGCUGGACACCUUGAGCGAAGAAUCCUACAAGGACAGCACCUUGAUCAUGCAACUCCUUCGUGAUAACUUGACCCUCUGGACUUCCGACAUCACGGAGGACACCGCGGAGGAGGAGAUCAGGGAGGCUCCGAAGCAUGACUCCAGCGAGGGGCAGUAA
This 792-nucleotide ribosomal RNA is filed under the name Triticum aestivum (bread wheat). RNAcentral describes it as "partial small subunit ribosomal RNA". The record is from RNAcentral. Lineage: Eukaryota; Viridiplantae; Streptophyta; Magnoliopsida; Poales; Poaceae.